This is a small nucleolar RNA of Protobothrops mucrosquamatus (brown spotted pit viper), 81 nucleotides long. RefSeq annotates it as small nucleolar RNA SNORD126. NCBI's taxonomy places the organism in Eukaryota, Metazoa, Chordata, Lepidosauria, Squamata, Viperidae. The transcript has a single exon. The record is from RefSeq and is a predicted model, not a curated record.
UUUCUGCUAUGAUGAACUGCAUGUUCUGUCCGUGUUUCACCUGAUAAUAAACCAUGAUUAGAAACAUGCCCUGAGCAGAGC